RNAcentral lists this long non-coding RNA (2154 nucleotides) under Mus musculus (house mouse). RNAcentral describes it as "long non-coding RNA chr6:17918446-17920600". The record is from RNAcentral. Lineage: Eukaryota; Metazoa; Chordata; Mammalia; Rodentia; Muridae.
AUGUAGAUAUCCUGGUGGUCAACAAUUCUUUUAAAAUUACAUUUUGUUUUAUUAUUUAUUAUAGUUUUAUUAUAAUGCAUAUUUAUUUUCAAUGAGUAUAUGUUCCUAACAAAGGGUAUUUGUAUAUUUUUUCUUAUUGUUUGAGAAAUCUGUGUAUCUAUACAAUGUGAUUUUUUUAAAUAUAAUUUUAAAUUUUCUUGAAAAUACAAUUUUUUGUACAACAUACUCUGAGCAUAAUUUAUCCUCUCCCAGCUCCUUCAAGAUCUUCCCACCUUCCUAACUACUCAUCCAUACCACUUUUUCUCUCUACUAGAAAACAAAUAGGCAAAUCCAGAAUAGGACAAAACUACAAGAAAAAAAAAGAGCCAAAGAAAAAGUGUAAGAAACAUGUUCAGAUGCAGAAACAUGCAUACACUUGCACACAUAGAAAUCCUAUUUAAAAAAAAAUUGGAGACCAUUCUAUGUAAGCAAAAGAUCUGUAAGGUCAAAAUGUGCCCAGAUAAGGCAUUAUGAAACAAAAACCCUCCAAAAAUAACAUUGAGUUUGUUCUAUGUUGACCAUUUGAGCACCCUGCCUUUAAGUGUGGUUUUAUACCCAGUGAGAGUACAUUAGAGAAAAUUAAUUUUUCUUUUGCAAAUGAUUGUCAAUUGGAGAUAGCUUCUGGGUUAAGGAUGGGAGCCCAUGUCUACCUGAACAUCUCUGCACAGGGACUCCUUCUGGCUUACAGUGCAAGCCCUGUGCAUGCUGCCACAGUCUUCUAGUUCACAUCUGCAUCAGCUCUGACUAUAAGGCCUUGUUUCCUUGGUGUCAUCCAUGCCUACUGGUUCUUACAAUCCUUCGACCUCCUCCUCUGCAAAGUUCCCUGAACUUCAAAGGGAUUUGAUGGAGAUGUACCAUUUAGGAUUGAGUGUUCCAAGGUCUCUCACUACACAUAGUCCAUCUGUGGAUCUUUUUGUUCCCAUCUGCUUCUGGAGAAAGCGUCUCUGAUGAUGGUCAAGUGGGACACUGGUCUAUGAGGAUAGAAGAAUGUCUUUAGGAGUGAUUUUAUUGCUAUGGUCCUUUAGCAGGACAGUAGUAUUUGGUAAUUUCUGUAGGUCCAUGGCCUAUCUAGCCUCAGGUUCUUGGCCACUGGAGCAGUGACAGAUGUGUUUCAUCUCAUAACGUGGGCCUUAAAUCCAGUCACACAGUGGUUGGUUACUCCAACAACUUUUGUGCCCUAAUUGCAUGUGUUUAAAAUAAUUGGUGGCUGGGUUAGUAUUUACCUGUAUCUUCUGAUGGUGUGCAAAGUACCGUUGAGUACCAUGAAUACUAGACAGUAGGAGGAUAAGCUCUAAGUGGGCACCACCUUGACUUCUCUGUGUUCACUGAGUUAUUACAAUGUGAUUUUAAUUGAAGUCAUUCCCACUCCCUCUACUUCAAUUCCUUUCUUACCUCCCCCCACCAUAUCUUCUCCCAACAUCAUGUCUGUGUUAUGGGGUUUUGUUUUGUUAGGUUUUGUUUUUCUUAUUUUUUCUCCCAUUAAAUCUGAUCAGUGCUGCGAGUAUGUAUACGGGUCACGGCAUCUACUGAAGCACGGAUAGCUUCUCGGAAGGGAGCCCCAUCCUUGAAGAAAAGUCAUUCUUUUACCAUUCAUCAAUUUCCAGUAGUUGCACAUCUAGGGCUGAGACUCUCUGAUCACCUCCCAUCUCCAUGUUGGGAUGUUUGUUUGGUUUGAUCUUGCGCACGUACAACUGUUGUGAGCUUAUGUGUCCAACUGCCCUGUUCUGGACAGACUAUUUUCAUGUAGUAUUUUUGCCUCUGGCUCUAUAAUCUUUCUGCUGCCCUUUCUUUGCCCAUAACCUUAGGAGCAGGGGUGCUGUAGAUGUCACAUUUAGGGCUUAGAACUGCAGACUCUCAUUCUCUGAAUGUUGACCAAUUGUGAGUCUCUCUGUGAAUUCAUAUACUGAUAAAAGAAGAUUGUCCAUUGAGGGUUGACACGCUAAUUUAUUGCUUUAAAGAUAAGUCAUUAUGAGUGAAUUAAAUAUACAUUUAGGAGAAUAAUAAUAGUAGGUUCUCCGCUAGGGCCUAUGGCCUAUCUAGUCAUAGGUACUUAGCCCUGUAAUAGUGCUAGGUUGAGUUCCAUCUAAAAACUGGUCUAGUUAUUUGCAGUUUUGG